AGAAUAUAAGAAACCGUUUAUUAACUUUUAACUAAAAAAGCUAAGAACGGGCUUAUUUAAGAGCCGGUUCUUAGCUUUUUUUAGUUAAACAUUAAUAGACGGUUUCUUAUAUUCC
Molecule: microRNA precursor, 115 nt
Organism: Brassica oleracea var. oleracea
Lineage: Eukaryota; Viridiplantae; Streptophyta; Magnoliopsida; Brassicales; Brassicaceae
Rfam family: MIR9563 microRNA precursor family
Source: Rfam